UUGAUCCUGGCUCAGGACGAACGCUGGCGGCGUGCCUAACACAUGCAAGUCGAGCGAUGAAGUUUCCUUCGGGAAACGGAUUAGCGGCGGACGGGUGAGUAACACGUGGGUAACCUGCCUCAUAGAGGGGAAUAGCCUUCCGAAAGGAAGAUUAAUACCGCAUAACAUUGCAGUUUCGCAUGAAACAGCAAUUAAAGGAGCAAUCCGCUAUGAGAUGGACCCGCGGCGCAUUAGCUAGUUGGUAAGGUAAUGGCUUACCAAGGCGACGAUGCGUAGCCGACCUGAGAGGGUGAUCGGCCACAUUGGGACUGAGACACGGCCCAGACUCCUACGGGAGGCAGCAGUGGGGAAUAUUGCACAAUGGGGGAAACCCUGAUGCAGCAACGCCGCGUGAGUGAUGACGGUCUUCGGAUUGUAAAGCUCUGUCUUUGGGGACGAUAAUGACGGUACCCAAGGAGGAAGCCACGGCUAA
Molecule: ribosomal RNA, 472 nt
Filed under: Clostridium baratii
Lineage: Bacteria; Bacillati; Bacillota; Clostridia; Eubacteriales; Clostridiaceae
Description: bacterial SSU rRNA
Rfam family: Bacterial small subunit ribosomal RNA
Source: RNAcentral